This 395-nucleotide ribosomal RNA is filed under the name uncultured bacterium. Its description in RNAcentral is "bacterial SSU rRNA". It matches the Rfam family "Bacterial small subunit ribosomal RNA", at positions 355 to 767 of the family's 1533-position model. The record is from RNAcentral.
UGGGGAAUAUUGCACAAUGGGCGAAAGCCUGAUGCAGCAACGCCGCGUGAGUGAUGAAGGCCUUCGGGUUGUAAAGCUCUGUCUUUUGGGACGAUAAUGACGGUACCAAAGGAGGAAGCCACGGCUAACUACGUGCCAGCAGCCGCGGUAAUACGUAGGUGGCAAGCGUUGUCCGGAAUUACUGGGCGUAACGAAUGCGUAGGUGGAUAUGCAAGUCAGAUGUGAAAUACCCGGGCUCAACUUGGGUGCUGCAUUUGAAACUAUAUAUCUAGAGUGCAGGAGAGGAAAGCGGAAUUCCUAGUGUAGCGGUGAAAUGCGUAGAGAUUAGGAAGAACACCAGUGGCGAAGGCGGCUUUCUGGACUGUAACUGACACUGAGGCAUGAAAGCGUGGGGA